GAGCAAAGUCAUUUACUUACAAGAGCAACUUUGGGUAGAUAAAUAUGCACCAAAGUCAUUUACUGAGCUUCUUAGUGAUGAACAAACAAAUCGUGAGGUACUCUUAUGGUUGAAACAAUGGGACUCUACUGUUUUUGGCUCUGAUAUGGUGUUGUAAUAAGUGAAGACAUUUCUUAAUACAUCUUUCGUUUGUUUCUUGUUAGACUUCCAUGAUACAUGGGCCAUCCUGGAUGUUCGAGUGAAAGAUGCUUUUGAUCUAAAGAAAACCAUUUAAGAGCUCCACCAAACAUUGCUGGGAAUCAUUCUGAGAGGGGGAUAUUGAGCUCGGUUAUGUACUUGUUGGGCACAAGGUUGUAAGAAAAAUAUAAAAUACAGAAAAUGAGGGACCCUGAGGUGAUCUUGAGACCCCAGACCUGCUAUUAAUUUUCCAUUGCUUUUGUAAUUAUACAUGCGUUUUGCUUAGUUAGUGAAUUUCGACUAGAUAGGAGGUUGAAGGGUUUUUUGUUACUGAAAAAACCUGGAAAGUUUUGUAUAAGGAUUAAUGUAUAAAACAAUUAUACCAAAAAUUGUCACUAAUUACUGUUUAAUUUAUCUUGUAAUAAAAAUUGCAUACUAUAUUUA
Arachis ipaensis is the source of this 621-nucleotide non-coding RNA. The record is from RefSeq and is a predicted model, not a curated record. NCBI's taxonomy places the organism in Eukaryota, Viridiplantae, Streptophyta, Magnoliopsida, Fabales, Fabaceae.